RNAcentral lists this transfer RNA (84 nucleotides) under Candidatus Omnitrophota bacterium. RNAcentral describes it as "Candidatus Omnitrophica bacterium tRNA-Leu". It matches the Rfam family "tRNA". From Rfam's summary of the family: Transfer RNA (tRNA) molecules are approximately 80 nucleotides in length. Their secondary structure includes four short double-helical elements and three loops (D, anti-codon, and T loops). Lineage: Bacteria; Pseudomonadati; Candidatus Omnitrophota. The record is from RNAcentral.
GCCGGAGUGGUGGAAUUGGUAGACGCGCUAGGUUCAGGACCUAGUGUCCUUUGGGACGUGGGGGUUCGAGUCCCCCCUUCGGCA